CUUUGAUUAGAACAUCAACAAUGAGUUUGUCAGACUUUUGACAAAUUCUCUCUCAUCUCAUCUCAACUAAACACCCCUUUCUCUUCUUCUUUUCUCAUUAACCUUCUCACCCGCCACUCCCUCCUUCUCUCUCUCUCUCUCUCUCUCUCUUCUUGUGAUAUACAUACAUACAUACAUAUGUAUAGUAUAAGAUAAGAUCAAGAUCAAGAGAAGAAAUGGGUAAUGGAUACAAUCAGCAGCAGCAGCAGCACCUACAUGAGAGAAGCACUUACUUACCAAUGUUGUGUUCAAGAUCAAGAUUCACCUCCAUCAAAGAUGUACACCUUCCCAAGUGCCAACAUCACUACCACCACCACCUCCACCUCUCUUCCUCCUCUAAAUCCAACGACCCUUCAUCCCCUAGAGUCAGUUGCAUGGGUCAAGUCAACCGAAACAACAGCCGAGUCAUCGGCCUCCCUACUUCAUACCGCUUCACCACCACCACCACCAACAUCAAAUAUCACAAGCUCAAAAGACUCUUUUCCGGAAGAAAUCUCACCACCACCACCACAACCACAGCCGCCGCCACUAGAGGAAGAGGCCACAUCAAGUCAAGUGAUGAUAAUGAUUAUGGACCGGCGCCGGUGAACAUCGCCGCCUUGGAUCCUCCGUUGCCGGUGGUGAAGAGGGUGCAACAGCAGGCGGUGGACGGCGGAGAUGGGGUGAAUCUGUGGAAGAGAAGGUCUGGUGGGGCUGCAUUGAAGAAUUUACAGCUUCAACAAAUUCAUAUACCCAAUAACAACAACAACAACAACGACGACAACCAUUAUUUGCAACCAACAACUGUGUGAUAUAUUGUUUAUUUAUUUAUUGAUGUGUGAUCUGAUCUGAUCUGAUGGGAUGGGAUUGGGAGUGAGGCUCCAAUUUGAGGGGUCAAAGGGACUAAAGGUUUCAAUGACUAGCGAACGUUCUGGUAAAAGCUCCGUGGGACAACAGAAGGAAUGAUAUUUGGCUUGUCAGAUGGGACUUCUCACUUGCUAGUAAUUUGCAUUUGGAAGUUUUUUAUUUUUUUAGUUUAAGGCUAUUUGGAAGUCAUUCAAUUGUUCUGAAAAGGAAUUUUUUCUUUCCAGAUGGCUACAUG
This is a non-coding RNA of Camellia sinensis, 1120 nucleotides long. Lineage: Eukaryota; Viridiplantae; Streptophyta; Magnoliopsida; Ericales; Theaceae. The record is from RefSeq and is a predicted model, not a curated record.